UACGUAGGGGGCUAGCGUUGUCCGGAAUCAUUGGGCGUAAAGCGCGUGUAGGCGGUCCGGUAAGUCCGCUGUGAAAGUCGAGGGCUCAACCCUCGAAUGCCGGUGGAUACUGUCGGGCUUGAGUACGGGAGAGGCGAGUGGAAUUCCUGGUGUAGCGGUGAAAUGCGCAGAUAUCAGGAGGAAAACCGAUUGCGAAGGCAGCUCGCUGGAACGUUACUGACGCUGAGACGCGAAAGCGUGGGGAGCAAACAGG
Molecule: ribosomal RNA, 253 nt
Filed under: uncultured bacterium
Lineage: Bacteria
Description: partial 16S ribosomal RNA
Rfam family: Bacterial small subunit ribosomal RNA
Source: RNAcentral